GACGAACGCUGGCGGCGUGCUUAACACAUGCAAGUCGAACGGAAAGGCCCUGCUUUUGUGGGGUGCUCGAGUGGCGAACGUGUGAGUAACACGUGAGUAACCUGCCCUUGACUUUGGGAUAACUUCAGGAAACUGGGGCUAAUACCGGAUAGGAGCUCCUGCUGCAUGGUUGGGGUUGGAAAGUUUCGGCGGUUGGGGAUGGACUCGCGGCUUAUCAGCUUGUUGGUGGGGUAGUGGCUUACCAAGGAUUUGACGGGUAGCCGGCCUGAGAGGGUGACCGGCCAAAUGGGGACUGAGAGACGGCACAGACUACUACGGGAGGCAGCAGUGGGGAAUAUUGCAGAAUGGGCGGAAGGCUGAUGCAGCAACGCCGCGUGAGGGAUGACGGCCUUCGGGUUGUAAACCGAUUUCGCAUGUGACGAAGAGUGAGUGACGGUAAUGGGUAAAGAAGCACCGGCUAACUACGUG
This 468-nucleotide ribosomal RNA is filed under the name uncultured bacterium. Its description in RNAcentral is "partial 16S ribosomal RNA". It matches the Rfam family "Bacterial small subunit ribosomal RNA", at positions 28 to 507 of the family's 1533-position model. The record is from RNAcentral.